This 221-nucleotide unclassified non-coding RNA is filed under the name Hevea brasiliensis (rubber tree). Lineage: Eukaryota; Viridiplantae; Streptophyta; Magnoliopsida; Malpighiales; Euphorbiaceae. The record is from RNAcentral.
UGGGGCACAACCAUUCUUUUGUUUCUCCAUACUUUUCCAUGAUAUUUAGUACACCACCUACUUUGUUAGAGUAUCCUUCAUCUGUAUCAACACCUAUGAGGAACGCAAUAGACACUGAUAUGGUGUACAGGGAUGUAUAGUUCACAUUGGAGAAAGGAAAUUAGCUACAGAUCUUGUUUCUUUAGAUAUAUUUGAGGUUGAUGUGAUUUUAGGCAUGGAUU